RNAcentral lists this ribosomal RNA (450 nucleotides) under uncultured bacterium. RNAcentral describes it as "partial 16S ribosomal RNA". It matches the Rfam family "Bacterial small subunit ribosomal RNA", at positions 354 to 796 of the family's 1533-position model. The record is from RNAcentral.
GUGGGGAAUUUUGGACAAUGGGCGCAAGCCUGAUCCAGCAAUGCCGCGUGCAGGAAGAAGGCCUUCGGGUUGUAAACUGCUUUUGUACGGAACGAAACGGUCCGGGUUAAUACCCUGGGCUAAUGACGGUACCGUAAGAAUAAGCACCGGCUAACUACGUGCCAGCAGCCGCGGUAAUACGUAGGGUGCGAGCGUUAAUCGGAAUUACUGGGCGUAAAGCGUGCGCAGGCGGUUUUGUAAGAUCGAUGUGAAAUCCCCGGGCUCAACCUGGGAAUUGCGCUUGUGACUGCAGUGCUGGAGUGCGGCAGAGGGGGAUGGAAUUCCGCGUGUAGCAGUGAAAUGCGUAGAUAUGCGGAGGAACACCGAUGGCGAAGGCAAUCCCCUGGGCCUGCACUGACGCUCAUGCACGAAAGCGUGGGGAGCAAACAGGAUUAGAUACCCCAGUAGUCC